CCUACGGGUGGCUGCAGUGAGGAAUAUUGGUCAAUGGACGCAAGUCUGAACCAGCCAUGCCGCGUGGAGGAUGACAGCCUUCUGGGUUGUAAACUUCUUUUAUAUGGGAAGAAAAGUACGGUUUCUACUGUAUCCGACGGUACCAUAUGAAUAAGCACCGGCUAACUCCGUGCCAGCAGCCGCGGUAAUACGGAGGGUGCAAGCGUUAUCCGGAUUUACUGGGGUUAAGGCGGAUAUUGGCGUCUGUGGAGAAAUCUCCGGGCUCAACCCGGAAACUGCCUUUGAUACUAUUUAUCUUGAAUUUCGUUGAGGUUGGCGGAAUAUAUCAUGUAGCGGUGAAAUGCAUAGAUAUGAUAUAGAACACCGAUUGCGUAGGCAGCUGGCUGAACGAACAUUGACGCUGAGGCACGAAAGCGUGGGUAGCGAACAGGAUUAGAUACCCGUGUAGUC
Molecule: ribosomal RNA, 450 nt
Filed under: uncultured bacterium
Lineage: Bacteria
Description: partial 16S ribosomal RNA
Rfam family: Bacterial small subunit ribosomal RNA
Source: RNAcentral